This 270-nucleotide ribosomal RNA is filed under the name Lotharella globosa. RNAcentral describes it as "partial Bacterial large subunit ribosomal RNA". It matches the Rfam family "Bacterial large subunit ribosomal RNA", at positions 250 to 519 of the family's 2925-position model. The record is from RNAcentral. Lineage: Eukaryota; Cercozoa; Chlorarachniophyceae.
CGAGCGAACGGGGAACAGCCCAAACCGUAACAGUUACGGCUGUUGCGGGGUUGUAGGACUGCACUGUGGACUAUACAAACGAAUCGGAAUGGUUUGGGAAAGCCAAUCAAAGAGGGUGAGAAUCCCGUACGAGUAAAGUUGUAUUACCUAGCAGUAUCCUGAGUAGGGCGGGACCGGAGAAAUCCCGUCUGAAUCCACCGGCACCAUCCGGUAAGGCUAAAUACUCCUGAGAGACCGAUAGUGAACCAGUACCGUGAGGGAAAGGUGAAA